Long non-coding RNA from Helicoverpa armigera (cotton bollworm), 3769 nucleotides. RefSeq lists it as uncharacterized. The record is from RefSeq and is a predicted model, not a curated record. NCBI's taxonomy places the organism in Eukaryota, Metazoa, Arthropoda, Insecta, Lepidoptera, Noctuidae. The transcript is spliced from 4 exons.
CAGUUAAGAGGGCUAUCACAAAUUUUCGAGUUUUAUACGAGUUUUGAUGCGUCAUUAUGCUUUGGAUAUAGUCACAAAAAAAAAACAAAAAUAAGAUUAAGAAAGUUUGAUCAUUUAUCUUGGGGCUGUUUUCAAUAAAUAUUUUAAUUUGUCCACGUACAUCAGUAAAAUCUUUGUCUCUGCAAAGGAUGUUUCAUAAAAUGUUGCUUUUGGGGAUCUUUUGAUGCUUCAGUACUCCGAGGAUAUAGCAAUUUAACCAUUUAUAAAAAUGUUCAAGAUACAACUAUAUCUUGUACUUGUGCUUGCUUACACCAAUUUAUUACAAUUCAUACAGUAAUACACCAAAAAUAAUUCUAUAAAACUGAGAGUUACUGACAAUUUUCCGUACAAAACUAUAUUUUUUAUCUAUGAAAGUAUAAUCCAAAUUCAAAUAAAACAUAUUUAAUAAUUAAGGUGGUAUUGUUAUAAAGCUUGAAAAAAAAAAUUGGUCUAUUUAAAAGUAAAACAAUAUUUUAAAAUAAUUUUUGUUUGCAAUGCAAAAAUCAAUAUAAAUCUUGUGACGCGCGGUGUUCAACUUUAGUCAGCGCCAGGCGCUUAUCGAGGGAGGACGUAUCGCUCGCUGUUGCGCCGCGCAAACUCGCCGGAGCUCGAAAAAUAUAGCGCAACCUGCGCAACGAACUCGUUUUGAUACUAGAUAAUGAAAGCAUAUUUAAUUCAGAUUAUCAGACUCAAUCGGAUACCAGUACAAAUAAUAUGGAAAAUGAAGAUACAAUACAUGGAAGACGAAUUAUAGAUUUUAGUUUUUUUAUAAAUCAAUUACUUAUACCUAAUUGAUAAACAUGGUGAAGUUUGGUUGUCGAUUAAAUAAUUUAAAAAUUGUAAACGAUUAUUUGUUUAUUGUAACUCAAUCGAGCUAUUCUAGGUUAUAAAAUUCAUCGGUACAAAUAAUAUUUCAUAAACUAUAAAACCAAUAAACUAUUUCGAAAAUAAAAGUGGCAAAGUCUCAAGUUUGUUUGUGCCGCGUGGCGGUCCGCAGGUGUGCGUUGCGUAUUUCACUAGACGCACACGCGCGCAAGUGCUGCCGGCUAUCGUCUAAUUUACCUAAACCUGAGCGAUUCGAUUUUGUAAUAGCGCUCUUAAAUAAUAAAUAAAUUGCAAUAUUUCCAGGUGAGACCAGCGAGCGACAGACAACGACCGCACUGUUUAGAACUGUACGCGAGCGGCGGCGCUGAUCUCAUCAAGGCCUGCAAGACUGACUCCGAGGGGAAGGUCGUCGAGGGAAAACAUACUGUUUACAGAAUGUCGGCAGCUACGGCGGAGGAGCGCGACGAGUGGAUCGAGUGCCUGCGCCGCUCCAUCAGCCACAACCCCUUCUACGACAUGCUCGCGCAGCGCAAGAAGAAGGCGCAGCACAACCUGCACUCCGCGCACUGAGCACAGCAUACUCUCUGAACACAACUACAUCUUCGUCUGUCUACUGGUGUCGUGAUGUGCCAGUGAUACAAGCUCCCCGAAGAACAGUGUUCGCAAAACAAUCUAAGGUUACACGAGUAAUGAUCAACAAUAAGUGCAAUUUAACGACAUCAAACCACCUCAGUAAACGAGCCUUAAUUUUAAAUGUGGUUUUUACAACUUCUGCCCAAUAAUAGUAAACAUAAGUAAUGUUUGUUUUAGGGGUAUAGCCUAUUGAACGAAGUCGUUUUCUUCAACUCUUAUUAUUGACAUUAAUCAUAAUUUAUUGUAGAGAAUAUAGUAGAAUUUUUAUAAAUACAGUGUACCUAAAGAGUUAUAGAAUGUUAUAUGCAUAACGAGUGAUAAGUCAUGCAUCUGAUGUAACGUCUAAUCGACAUUGAUUGCGAAAUAAGUUUUAUUUAUCAUGUUAUUUUAACAAAUUCAUAAGUGAGCUUAACCCCGAGGUAACGUCCGUCAAGAGUCAGCUGGUGACUUGACAAUAGCCAUUAGUCAUAACUCCAAUGAAUAUGUGAUAUUUAGCCAUGAUAACGACGUACGGAAUGUAUUGUGUUGUACAUAUCGAAACACAAUAAUUGCGCAUCAUUUCAUGGCUGUUGGUCCAUGUAUAUAAACGAAGGAAAGACUGAAAAUUGUGCUUUUUAAACAUCGCCUAUUCGAAAUUGGAACUGUUAGUCGCGUGCGUAAUAAUUUACUUUUCAAAUUAUCACUGUAGACUUAAAAGAAUAAUAUAUUAGUGAGGAAGUCCGUAUCUCACGUCUCACAUCCAUACUGCAUCCGUACAUCGAUUAAAACUGCAAUGAAAUUAAAUACGGAAGUGAUGAAAUCGUCGGCUUAAGGAUGCAGCUUGCUAAACUCAUUCUUGAGUUCAUACCGUGAGAUUAGUUAUGAGCGCAUACUGCCAAAUUUUUAUAGUUUGCUAAAGUAAAUUGAUUUCAAACAUUGUUUAAAUGUUGGACAUCCGCAUCACAUCUCAGGAUUGACAAUAAGUUUGUUUAAUUGUAUCGGCAAAUACAUUGCUGGUUUAGCCUAAUAAACCGUGGCGGAAUUGUAUUCAAUGAAAAGUAUUACUUUGAUAAUAUUGUAAUGUAACAUAUUAUGUGAAGAUAAUGUAAAGUAAUACAUGUGUAAAUAGGUUAAUUAGCCUAACUUAGUGUGUGAAAGCCAUCGGUAUUACUACUUCUUAUGAGAAUGAGAAUGUAAAUAUGGCUGGAAAACAGAAAAUAAGGAAGGCACAACAACCAAUUUUUGAAAAACUAAUUUAUGGACAAAUAAUUUCAUGGAACUACAGCGAAUCGGUUUUAUUUAUGUUUUAGUCAAUAAAUGAAACAAAGGUUAUGCUUGUUAUCGACACAACUCAUCGUCAUUUCCGCCCAUAAACAUAGAUAUAAACAUUAGGUAUUUAGAGUAGCCUUUAUGUGGCCUAACAUCAUCAUGUCAUUAGUUUUAUUAGUAUUUCAGAAGUUGGCUGUUGCCGUAUAGUAUAAUUAAUUUAAAUUGGGCAACAAAAUUUUAGUUUACAUUCCUGCUCUUUAACCUAAAUAAUCUCAAAAGAAUGUGAGGAAUUAUCGUUCUCUUCGUAAGCAUUUUCAUGUUUUCUUAAACUGUCUCUAUCACUAAAUUCUUGUUCUGUAAAUAAUUUCAAGUAUUUUUUCCAAUGUAAUUCGAAUUCAAUAUUUCAUUUCAAUUAUUCUGAUAAUAUUUCUUUAAUGAUUUAAUAGAAUACAAUAUAUCGUGGUCUUGUGUCAAAAGAUCUCUUGUUAUCUGUAUACAUACGUAUGAUUAUAGUAGUAUACAUUUUAGAAACAGUAGAACAGCCACUCUGUAUUGUUAUUCUCAAAGUAAUCGGUCAGUAUAGCGCCUUGUACGACCAGUAAGAACAAUGUUCACAAGGUGCCAUAAUUUUUAUUUAAUUUUUAACGAGCUACGAUCACAGGUGUGGCUGUACUACUGACAAUAUUAAUCCCUAUUUAUGUGAAUAAUCGGUUUUUAGAAACAAUUUUAUUUUUAUUGUUCAUAAUUCAAAUGUCAUAAAACUCAAUUAUUUAAUAAUGAUAUUAGGGGAGGUAAAUAUUCUGUUUUGUAAUUAUUUUUUAUGGAAUGGUGCCUAGUAUUGAUCUGCAACUAGUUAAGCUUACUAUAGUAGUAUUAGUGUACCUACUUAUAAUGCGCUGUAAAUUCGCUUUUAGAAACGUUAAUUUAUCAAUGUAAUGUUUUAUAUGACAGCGGAUAUGUGCAUAAUAAUGGUGUUGUAAAUAAUUUUGUAAGAAAAUGGAUAUACAUAAAAUAUGUUUAUUUA